Papaver somniferum (opium poppy) is the source of this 72-nucleotide non-coding RNA. NCBI's taxonomy places the organism in Eukaryota, Viridiplantae, Streptophyta, Magnoliopsida, Ranunculales, Papaveraceae. The record is from the annotation of a RefSeq genome assembly.
GCCCUUAUCGCUCAGUGGUAGAGCGUCAGUCUUGUAAAUUGAAGAUCCGCAGCUCAAUCCUUCGUGAGGGCA